GAAGCCUGCAGCAUUGUUGCCAGGAUUCAAGAGACAGUGACAAGGGCAGCGGAUGAGUGCUUCCCUCCUGCCCUCUGCACAUGGCGCCCCCAGGGAACUGCACCGGGCUCCUGCCGUGCUGCUCCAGGCUCACAGCCUCUCCUCAGGGACAUGAUGUUGGGGUGUUUUAACAGAGCACCAUGUUCUCUUUUCGCUCUUGGCCACAGAUGACGUCCGGUUGUUUGCCUUCGUGCGCUUCACCACCGGGGAUGCCAUGAGCAAGAGGUCCAAGUUUGCCCUCAUCACGUGGAUCGGUGAGAACGUCAGCGGGCUGCAGCGCGCCAAAACUGGGACGGACAAGACCCUGGUGAAGGAGGUCGUACAGAAUUUCGCUAAGGAGUUUGUGAUCAGUGAUCAAAAGGAGCUGGAGGAAGAUUUCAUCAAGAGCGAGCUGAAGAAGGCGGGGGGAGCCAAUUACGACGCCCAGACGGAGUAACCCCAGCCCCCCCCCACACCGCCCCUUGCCAAAGUCAUCUGCCUGCUCCCCGGGGGAGAGGACCGCCGGCCUCAGCUACUAGCCCACCAGCCCACCAGGGAGAAAAGAAGCCAUGAGAGGCAGCGCCCGCCACCCUGUGUCCGCAGCCCCCGCCUUCCUGCUUCCCUUAGAACCCUGCUGUGUCCUAUCUCAUGACGCUCAUGGAACCUCUUUCUUUGAUCUUUUUCUUUUCUCCCCCUCUUUUUUGUUCUAAAGAAAAACCAUUUUGAUGCAAGGUCCUGCCUGCCAUCAGA
RNAcentral lists this small RNA (768 nucleotides) under Pongo abelii (Sumatran orangutan). RNAcentral's name for it is "retained intron". Lineage: Eukaryota; Metazoa; Chordata; Mammalia; Primates; Hominidae. The record is from RNAcentral.